CCUUUACAAGGCACGAAAGUGGGUGAAGUAAGGCAACUCCUUGUGCUUAUCCAAAAGAUAGGCUUUUUUAGUAUGUAAUGUAUACUAAGAAUAAGUGAUGGGCAAGACCGGUGCCAGCAGCCGCGGUAAUACCGGCGUCACAAGUGGAGAUCACGAUUACUGGGUCUAAAGUGUUCGUAGCUGGUCAUAUAAGUCUCUUGUGAAAGUUCUGUAGCUUAAACUCAGAAUUGCAAGAGAUACUGUAUGACUUGAGACCGGAAGA
This 262-nucleotide ribosomal RNA is filed under the name uncultured euryarchaeote. RNAcentral describes it as "partial 16S ribosomal RNA". It matches the Rfam family "Archaeal small subunit ribosomal RNA", at positions 347 to 606 of the family's 1478-position model. Lineage: Archaea; Methanobacteriati; Methanobacteriota. The record is from RNAcentral.